UACGUAGGGGGCAAGCGUUGUCCGGAGUUACUGGGCGUAAAGCGCACGCAGGCGGUCUCUUAAGUUUGGAGUGACAGUUGGUGGCUUAACUGCCAAAGUGCUUCGAAAACUGAGAGACUUGAGGGCUUCAGAGGGACACGGAAUUCCGGGUGGAGUGGUGAAAUGCGUAGAGAUCCGGAGGAACACUAAAGGCGAAGGCAGUGUCCUGGGGAGUACCUGACGCUCAGGUGCGAAAGCCAGGGGAGCGAACGGG
RNAcentral lists this ribosomal RNA (253 nucleotides) under uncultured bacterium. RNAcentral's name for it is "partial 16S ribosomal RNA". It matches the Rfam family "Bacterial small subunit ribosomal RNA", at positions 524 to 776 of the family's 1533-position model. The record is from RNAcentral.